Molecule: ribosomal RNA, 272 nt
Filed under: Escherichia coli
Lineage: Bacteria; Pseudomonadati; Pseudomonadota; Gammaproteobacteria; Enterobacterales; Enterobacteriaceae
Description: partial 23S ribosomal RNA
Rfam family: Bacterial large subunit ribosomal RNA
Source: RNAcentral
AGGUAACAUCAAAUCGUACCCCAAACCGACACAGGUGGUCAGGUAGAGAAUACCAAGGCGCUUGAGAGAACUCGGGUGAAGGAACUAGGCAAAAUGGUGCCGUAACUUCGGGAGAAGGCACGCUGAUACGUAGGUGAAGUCCCUCGCGGAUGGAGCUGAAAUCAGUCGAAGAUACCAGCUGGCUGCAACUGUUUAUUAAAAACACAGCACUGUGCAAACACGAAAGUGGACGUAUACGGUGUGACGCCUGCCCGGUGCCGGAAGGUUAAUUG